Molecule: long non-coding RNA, 470 nt
Filed under: Medicago truncatula (barrel medic)
Lineage: Eukaryota; Viridiplantae; Streptophyta; Magnoliopsida; Fabales; Fabaceae
Description: long non-coding RNA (MTRU_LNC005506)
Source: RNAcentral
AUCAAAUAGUGACUGAUACUAUCGGUAACUGUUAUGGUUCAUAUGUAUGUGUGAAACAGGAGAUCAGGUACCCACAUAACACAAACUCUAACGUUUAUUUGAAUAAAACUAACAGAAAGGACUAAAUGUAAUAACGGUGAGAAACUUAGAGGACCGAAAUAAAUCAAUUUUUAGUUAGAGGACCAAUCUGAUACCAAUUAAAUAGUUAGAGGACAAAUCCAAUACCAAUUAAAUAGUUAGAGGACCAAAAAGGUAAUUUAGCCUAAAAAUAAACUUGAUCGAUGUUUCACAAUUAUUCAAAAUAGUUAUUGGGUUUCCUCUCAAAAAUAAAAAUUGUUACCUGGGCAAAGAAAGUGGCUCACUCGUUUACAAAUGAGCUGAAAGUUUUAUUCAAUUUGGGUUAUGUUUGGAGGAGAGUUGCUUUUAGAUACAUUUUCAUUGCUCAAAAAUAUAAUUACAGUUGGUUGAAC